Molecule: transfer RNA, 91 nt
Filed under: Armatimonadota bacterium
Lineage: Bacteria; Bacillati; Armatimonadota
Rfam family: tRNA
About the family: Transfer RNA (tRNA) molecules are approximately 80 nucleotides in length.
Source: Rfam by way of RNAcentral
GGAGUGAUGUCCGAGUUGGUCGAAGGAGCACGACUGGAAAUCGUGUAGGCGGGUUAAAUCCGUCUCGUGGGUUCGAAUCCCACUCACUCCG